UUUAAACAAAAAUUAAAUGAGUAAAUGACAUUUUUUGUCAUCUCGCCCUAGUCGCCUUAAUCGCAUAUUAUCUGAUCUAUGCAGCUAUCUUUAACGUCUCUACCGCCGUCGUCCCGAAUAUCGUUAUUUUUUUUAAAGGAUUUUCAUAUUUUUAAACGAUGACAUGCUGAUAAUUACAACUGACGUGUUGAAAUAAAAACUUAAAAUAUUUUGUGAACAUUAUAGAAUACUUGCAU
Non-coding RNA from Cinara cedri, 236 nucleotides. NCBI's taxonomy places the organism in Eukaryota, Metazoa, Arthropoda, Insecta, Hemiptera, Aphididae. The record is from the annotation of a GenBank genome assembly.